AGGGUUUGAUCAUGGCUCAGAUUGAACGCUGGCGGCAGCCCUUACACAUGCAAGUCGAGCGAGGAAGUUUCUUCGGAAGCGAGUAAAGCGGCGGACGGGUGAGUAACGCGUAGGAAUCUACCAUUCAGUGGGGGAUAGCUCGGGGAAACCCGAAUUAAUACCGCAUAUACCCUAAGGGGGAAAGAGGGCCUAUCCUUGGAAGCUCUUGCUGUUUGAUGAGCCUGCGUGAGAUUAGUUUGUUGGUGAGGUAAUGGCUCACCAAGACUACGAUCUCUAGCUGGUCUGAGAGGACGAUCAGCCACACUGGGACUGAGACACGGCCCAGACUCCUACGGGAGGCAGCAGUGGGGAAUAUUGGACAAUGGGGGCAACCCUGAUCCAGGCAUGCCGCGUGUGUGAAGAAGGCCUUCGGGUUGUAAAGCACUUUAGGUAAGGAAGAAAAGUUAUUGGUUAAUACCUAAUGACCGUGACAUUACUUACAGAAUAAGGACCGGCUAACUCCGUGCCAGCAGCCGCGGUAAUAC
This 524-nucleotide ribosomal RNA is filed under the name uncultured bacterium. RNAcentral describes it as "bacterial SSU rRNA". It matches the Rfam family "Bacterial small subunit ribosomal RNA", at positions 8 to 526 of the family's 1533-position model. The record is from RNAcentral.